AUGUUAAUAAUAAUGUUUUAACUUUAUAUUUUCUCUGAGUUUGAACAUACAUCUAACUCUUGCCAAGCAUCCAAGAAAGGAGUCCUCAUUCUGAGUGAGGUAAUUUAACUUUAUAUUUUCUCUGAGUUUGCAUGGUAGGUUUUUUCCAUUGUUAAAUUCAUCAGAAAAGCUUAAAUUAUCAAUAAAAAAAGAAAAAGGAAAAAAAUAAUACUUUGUUGUGAAUUCUGUUCAACGCAUUGUCAUCAUAGUUCUUCGGGCUUGCAUCUUCUUGUUUAUUCCAUUUAAAUUUAGUUUGCAGGUGCAGCACAAUCGCUCGGUGCUGGUGCCAUUUUAGUAAAUCCAUGGAAUAUCACAGAAGUUGCUUCUUCCUUUGCUUAUGCUUUGAAUAUGCCAGCUGAUGAAAGAGAAAAGAGACACCAGCAUAAUUUCAUGCAUGUAACAACUCAUACAUCUCAAGAAUGGGCUGCAACCUUUGUUAGUGAACUUAAUGAUACUAUUGUGGAAGCUCAACUGAGGACUAGGAAAGUUCCAACUCUACUUCCUAUGAAAGAAGCCGUUGAUCACUAUUUGGAAUCCAAUAAUAGAUUGCUUAUACUGAUGGAAUAACAAAUAUACUGGUAGAAAUGAAUGUUAUAGCACCACAUGCUUUUGUUUCAUAAGUUUGGUUUACCCACAUUGUGAAAAUAUUGUGGGUAAUCAACCAACUUAUGAAGAGUUAGUUGAACGACUUAAUGAUACAACUUCCCGCCUUAAUGCUACUAACGAACAACUUAGUGUAGUUGUGGAUAUACUUCGUCAUAACAAUUUGAUGGCACCGCCUCCACCACCUCCAACAGACCAAGCUUCAGAUGCAAAUUUAAGAGUCGCCAUCUAUUUCAGUUUGGGAGUCACAAGAUGAUUCUUAGUUUAUUUACAUUAAUUUACUAAGGAAUGAACUUUAUGAAGUUUUUUUUUUAUUUUGGUAGGGGUAACCUUAAAAUGAUAACUUUAUGACUUAUUUUAGUAUUGAACAUUAUAAAGAAUUUUAGCAUUAAACAUUUUAUUA
Humulus lupulus (European hop) is the source of this 1045-nucleotide long non-coding RNA. RefSeq lists it as uncharacterized. The transcript has 3 exons. NCBI's taxonomy places the organism in Eukaryota, Viridiplantae, Streptophyta, Magnoliopsida, Rosales, Cannabaceae. The record is from RefSeq and is a predicted model, not a curated record.